CUGGAGGCAGCAGUGAGGAAUUUUGCGCAAUGGGGGAAACCCUGACGCAGCAACGCCAUGUGUGGGAUGAAGCAUUUCGGUGUGUAAACCACUGUCAGCAGGGAAUAAAAGGUCCUCACGGACAUUUGAAUGUACCUGCAAAGGAAGCCCCGGCUAACUUCGUGCCAGCAGCCGCGGUAAUACGAGGGGGGCAAGUGUUGUUCGGAAUCACUGGGCGUAAAGGGAGCGUAGGCGGGUUUUUAAGUUAGGUGUUUAAUCCCGGGGCCCAACCCCGGACCGGCACUUAAAACUGGGAAUCUUGAAUAGUGGAGAGGUCAGUGGAAUUGGGGGUGUAGCGGUGGAAUGCGUAGAGAUCCCCAAGAACACCAGUUGCGAAGGCGGCUGACUGGACACAUAUUGACGCUGAGGCUCGAAAGCAUGGGGAGCAAACAGGAUUAGAUACCCGGGUAGUCCG
RNAcentral lists this ribosomal RNA (454 nucleotides) under uncultured bacterium. RNAcentral describes it as "bacterial SSU rRNA". It matches the Rfam family "Bacterial small subunit ribosomal RNA", at positions 342 to 797 of the family's 1533-position model. The record is from RNAcentral.